This 686-nucleotide ribosomal RNA is filed under the name Anthocharis lanceolata (gray marble). Its description in RNAcentral is "partial 16S ribosomal RNA". Lineage: Eukaryota; Metazoa; Arthropoda; Insecta; Lepidoptera; Pieridae. The record is from RNAcentral.
UAUAGAGAUUAAAUUAAUAUAAUGUAAAAAAUAAAAAAAAUAAUUCUAAAAUAAAAAUAUUAUUAAUGGGGGUUAAAGUAUUUUAAAUAGAAAAAAUUUUAUUAUUUAUAGGGAAUUAGUAUUGUAAAAGAAUUUUGAAAAAUAAUGAAAUAAUAAUUUUUUGGGAAGUAAAUUUAAUUUAUUGUAUCUUGUGUAUCAGAGUUUAUUAAUAAAGGUUUUUAGGUUAAAAAUAUCUCGAAUUUAAAAGAGUUAAUUAAUUAAUAAAGUUAAUGUUGUAUAAUUAUUUUUCAUAAUUAAUUGGAAAUGAAAUGUUAAUCGUUUUUAAAAAUAUCUAGUUUUUUUAGAAAAAAAUUUAAUUUUAAAUUAAUUUUUAAUUUUUUUUUUAUUUUUAAAAAGAAAAUUAAUUUUAAUUAAAUAUUUUAGGGGAUAAGCUUUAAAUUAAAAUUUUAUAAUAAAAUUAUUUAAAUAUAUUUUUGAAAUUUUUAAAAUUUAUAUUUUUUAUAAAUUAUAAUUUUUUAUAAAUAAUUUCAUAUUUGUUUAAAAUUUAAAAUUAAGUUAUUUAAAUUUUUAUAAAAAAAUAAUUUUUAAUAAAAUAAAAUUAGAGAUAAUGAUAAAAUUAGUAAAAUAUAAUAAUGUAAAAUUAUAAAAAAUAUAAUAAAGGUAAUAAAAAGGAAUUCGGCAAAAUU